CUAUGCGCCUUGCCAGCCCGCUCAGUCAGAGUUUGAUCCUGGCUCAGGACGAACGCUGGCGGCGUGCUUAACACAUGCAAGUCGAACGGAAAGGCCCUGCUUUUGUGGGGUGCUCGAGUGGCGAACGGGUGAGUAACACGUGAGUAACCUGCCCUUGACUUUGGGAUAACUUCAGGAAACUGGGGCUAAUACCGGAUAGGAGCUCCUGCUGCAUGGUGGGGGUUGGAAAGUUUCGGCGGUUGGGGAUGGACUCGCGGCUUAUCAGCUUGUUGGUGGUAGUGGCUUACCAAGGCUUUGACGGGUAGCCGGCCUGAGAGGGUGACCGGCCACAUUGGGACUGAGAUACGGCCCAG
Molecule: ribosomal RNA, 353 nt
Filed under: uncultured bacterium
Lineage: Bacteria
Description: bacterial SSU rRNA
Rfam family: Bacterial small subunit ribosomal RNA
Source: RNAcentral